AUUCCAGCUCCAAUAGCGUAUAUUAAAGUUGUUGCAGUUAAAAAGCUCGUAGUUGGAUUUCUGGUAGGAGCGACCGGUCCGCCCUGUUAAGGGUGUGUACUAGCGUUGUCUCUGGCCAUCCUUGGGGGAACUGCGCGGGGAGACUUGCGUUAGGGAACCCAUCGUUUACUGUGAAAAAUUAGAGUGUUUAAAGCAGGCUUAUGCCGUUGAAUACAUUAGCAUGGAAUAAUAAGAUAGGACCGCGUGGUCGUCUUGUUGGUUUGCACCGCGAGGUAAUGAUUAUUAGGUACAGUUGGGGUAUUCGUAUUUAAUUGUCAGAGGUGAAAUUCUUGGAUUUAUGAAAGACAAACUUCUGCGAAAGCAUUUACCAAGGAUGUUUUCAUUA
RNAcentral lists this ribosomal RNA (385 nucleotides) under Stramenopiles sp. MAST-1B. Its description in RNAcentral is "partial small subunit ribosomal RNA". It matches the Rfam family "Eukaryotic small subunit ribosomal RNA", at positions 582 to 975 of the family's 1831-position model. The record is from RNAcentral.